AUACGUGAUGAGCUUUUUAAACACUUCUAAUGCUAGAUAGUAUCUGAAAAUUAAUUUAAUGAUUUCGGUGUUUUAGACAAUGGGAAUCUCUCUGAAA
The sequence is a small nucleolar RNA, 97 nucleotides long. It matches the Rfam family "Small nucleolar RNA snR65".